AUGCUGCGUCCUCCUGGACCGGCGUUGGGCUCGAGGGCCUCGCUAUACGUCGGCGACCUAGAUGAUGGCGUGGCGGAGGGGCAUAUCUAUGACCUGUUCUGCCAGGUGGCGCCCGUGGCGUCCCUCCGUGUCUGCCGGGACGUCACUGGCAGGUCACUUGGUUAUGCCUACGUGAAUUUCUACAGUCGGGAGGACGCCAAACGUUCAUUAGACUCUUUAAAUUUUACACCUCUCAACGGGAAGCAUAUCCGAGUUAUGUUCUCGAAUGGGGACCCAACGCUGCGAUUGAGUGGAAAGGCCAAUAUAUUCAUAAAAAAUCUUGUGCCAAAUAUUGAUGGCAAGAGCUUGAGUGAUAUGUUUGGUCGCUAUGGCACUAUACUAUCAUGCAAAGUGGCCACUCACUUUAACGGUCAAUCAAAAGGGUACGGAUUUGUUCAAUUUGCAGAGGAGACAUCUGCCAAUGAUGCCAUCGAUAGCUUGAAUGUCAAGUUGGUGAAUGGCAAACAAAUUUUUGUAGGUCUCUUCAUUCGUCGUCAGGAGAGGCAGCCAAAUAUCAGCGUGAGUAAUUAUACAAAUGUAUAUGUGAAGAACUUGCCAAAGGAAUUCACUCACAAUGACCUUCUGCAAGAGUUUGGUCCUUUCGGUACAAUUACUAGCGCUGUAAUCAUGAGAGAUAAUGAUGGAAUAUCCAAAUGCUUCGGAUUCGUUAACUAUGGGGAAUCAGAAUGUGCUACGGAAGCUGUGAAAAGUCUUAAUGGUAAGAUGAUUAAGGAUACAAUUUUGUAUGUUGGAAGAGCUCAGAAAAAGUCAGAAAGAGAAGCAGAACUGAGAGAAAACUUUGAGCGUGCGAGAAAUGAGAAAUUCAAAAAGUUUGAAGGGCUCAAUCUAUACGUGAAGAAUCUAGAUGAUAGUAUUAAUGAUCUAAAUCUUAGAGGGUUAUUUGAAUUUUUUGGUGAGAUAGGAUCAUGCAAGGUACUUCUCUCUUUAUUUGCUAGCUAA
This 999-nucleotide ribosomal RNA is filed under the name Triticum aestivum (bread wheat). RNAcentral's name for it is "partial small subunit ribosomal RNA". The record is from RNAcentral. Lineage: Eukaryota; Viridiplantae; Streptophyta; Magnoliopsida; Poales; Poaceae.